CAGCUGCAGUUUCUCUCUGUGUUUCCUCUACAGGUGAAAGUAGAACCACUCUGUGACCACAUGUGGAUCUGAAUUCACCUGGUGUUUCUCUGCUAUGGAUCAGAGUGAGGACAGAGAGGAGGGAGUCCCUCCCUCUAAAAGCUCUCUGUGUGGGGAACAUGACAGCCAGACCAAAGCUCAGAGGACAGAGAAGCAGCACAGACCAGACUCUGAUGAACUCAGCCGGCCGUCUGUCAAGAAUCUGCGGUUGAUGUUU
Long non-coding RNA from Scomber japonicus (chub mackerel), 256 nucleotides. RefSeq lists it as uncharacterized. The record is from RefSeq and is a predicted model, not a curated record. Lineage: Eukaryota; Metazoa; Chordata; Actinopteri; Scombriformes; Scombridae. The transcript is spliced from 3 exons.